GAAAGAAAUGCAACUUGAAGAGCUGUCUGAAACACUGGGAAAAGCUGAAGAACUUCUAGUGAAGAAGAAAGAUCUUGAGGCUACUGUUGAAAAUUUGCAAGAGAGAGAAAAAGAGAUGAAAAAUAUUCUUCAAGUCAGAGAGACUAAAGAAUGAGCAACUAACAGUGAAUAUCAAUGCACUGUUAUUAGAGAAAGAACAAAUGGCACAAGAGAAAAGUAAUAUGGCUACAGAACUCAA
RNAcentral lists this long non-coding RNA (238 nucleotides) under Chrysolophus pictus (golden pheasant). RNAcentral describes it as "lncRNA (ENSCPIG00010002865.1)". Lineage: Eukaryota; Metazoa; Chordata; Aves; Galliformes; Phasianidae. The record is from RNAcentral.